GGCGAGCGUUACCCGGAAUCACUGGGCGUAAAGGGGGCGUAGGCGGCCCAGCAAGUCGACUGUGAAAAACCGGAGCUCAACUUCGGUCCUGCGGUCGAAACUGCUGGGCUUGAGGACAGUAGAGGGAGACGGAACUGCCGGUGUAGGGGUAAAAUCCUUAGAUAUCGGCAGGAACGCCGGUGGCGAAGGCGGUCUCCUGGGCUGGACCUGACGCUGAGGCUCGAAAGCCAGGGGAGCGAACGGGAUUAGAUACCCCGGUAGUCCUGGCCCUAAACGAUGCUCACUAGGUGUGGGGUGCGUAGAGCACUCCGUGCUGAAGCAAACGCGAUAAGUGAGCCGCCUGGGGAGUACGCCCGCAAGGGUGAAACUCAAAGGAAUUGACGGGGGCCCGCACAAGCGGUGGAGCGUGUGGUUUAAUUCGAUGCUAAGCGAAGGACCUUACCAGGGCUUGACAUGCUGGUGGUACUGAACCGAAAGGGGAAGGACCCACCGUUAGGUGGGAGCCAGCACAGGUGGUGCACGGCCGUCGUCAGCUCGUGCCGUGAGGUGUUGGGUUAAGUCCCGCAACGAGCGCAACCCCUGCCCCUAGUUGCCAGCGGUUAGGCCGGGCACUCUAGGGGGACCGCCGCCGACGAGGCGGAGGAAGGGGGGGAUGACGUCAGGUAUCGUGCCCCUUAUGUCCUGGGCGACACACGCGCUGCAAUGGGACGGACAGCGGGGAGCGAGGCAGCGAUGCUGAGCAAAUCCCUGAAGCCGUUCCUCAGUUCGGAUUGCAGGCUGCAACCCGCCUGCAUGAAGCCGGAAUCGCUAGUAAUCGCGGAUCAGCCAUGCCGCGG
This 836-nucleotide ribosomal RNA is filed under the name uncultured bacterium. RNAcentral's name for it is "bacterial SSU rRNA". It matches the Rfam family "Bacterial small subunit ribosomal RNA", at positions 533 to 1362 of the family's 1533-position model. The record is from RNAcentral.